GACGAACGCUGGCGGCGUGCUUAACACAUGCAAGUCGAACGGAAAGGCCCUGCUUUUGUGGGGUGCUCGAGUGGCGAACGGGUGAGUAACACGUGAGUAACCUGCCCUUGACUUUGGGAUAACUUCAGGAAACUGGGGCUAAUACCGGAUAGGAGCUCCUGCUGCAUGGUGGGGGCUGGAAAGUUUCGGCGGUUGGGUAUGGACUCGCGGCUUAUCAGCUUGUUGGUGGGGUAGUGGCUUACAAAGGCUUUGACGGGUAGCCGGCCUGAGAGGGUGACCGGCCACAUUGGGACUGCGAUACGGCCCAGACUCCUACGGGAGGCAGCAGUGGGGAAUAUUGCACAAUGGGCGGAAGCCUGAUGCAGCAACGCCGCGUGCGGGAUGACGGCCUUCGGGUUGUAAACCGCUUUCGCCUGUGACGAAGCGUGAGUGACGGUAAUGGGUAAAGAAGCACCGGCUAACUACGUG
Molecule: ribosomal RNA, 468 nt
Filed under: uncultured bacterium
Lineage: Bacteria
Description: partial 16S ribosomal RNA
Rfam family: Bacterial small subunit ribosomal RNA
Source: RNAcentral